Molecule: ribosomal RNA, 497 nt
Filed under: uncultured bacterium
Lineage: Bacteria
Description: partial 16S ribosomal RNA
Rfam family: Bacterial small subunit ribosomal RNA
Source: RNAcentral
GACGAACGCUGGCGGCGUGCCUAAUACAUGCAAGUUGAGCGCUGAAGGUUGGUACUUGUACCAACUGGAUGAGCAGCGAACGGGUGAGUAACGCGUGGGGAAUCUGCCUUUGAGCGGGGGACAACAUUUGGAAACGAAUGCUAAUACCGCAUAAAAACUUUAAACACAAGUUUUAAGUUUGAAAGAUGCAAUUGCAUCACUCAAAGAUGAUCCCGCGUUGUAUUAGCUAGUUGGUGAGGUAAAGGCUCACCAAGGCGAUGAUACAUAGCCGACCUGAGAGGGUGAUCGGCCACAUUGGGACUGAGACACGGCCCAAACUCCUACGGGAGGCAGCAGUAGGGAAUCGUCGGCAAUGGACGAAAGUCUGACCGAGCAACGCCGCGUGAGUGAAGAAGGUUGUCGGAUCGUAAAACUCUGUUGGUAGAGAAGAACGUUGGUGAGAGUGGAAAGCUCAUCAAGUGACGGUAACUACACAGAAAGGGACGGCUAACUACGUG